GAUGAACGCUGGCGGCGUGCCUAAUACAUGCAAGUCGAGCGAACAGACGAGGAGCUUGCUCCUCUGACGUUAGCGGCGGACGGGUGAGUAACACGUGGAUAACCUACCUAUAAGACUGGGAUAACUUCGGGAAACAGGAGCUAAUACCGGAUAAUAUAUUGAACCGCAUGGUUCAAUAGUUAAAGACGGUUUUGCUGUCACUUAUAGAUGGAUCCGCGCCGCAUUAGCUAGUUGGUAAGGUAACGGCUUACCAAGGCAACGAUGCGUAGCCGACCUGAGAGGGUGAUCAGCCACACUGGAACUGAGACACGGUCCAGACUCCUACGGGAGGCAGCAGUAGGGAAUCUUCCGCAAUGGGCGAAAGCCUGACGGAGCAACGCCGCGUGAGUGAUGAAGGUCUUCGGAUCGUAAAACUCUGUUAUUAGGGAAGAACAAAUGUGUAAGUAACUAUGCACGUCUUGACGGUACCUAAUCAGAAAGCCACGGCUAACUACGUG
This 497-nucleotide ribosomal RNA is filed under the name uncultured bacterium. RNAcentral's name for it is "partial 16S ribosomal RNA". It matches the Rfam family "Bacterial small subunit ribosomal RNA", at positions 28 to 507 of the family's 1533-position model. The record is from RNAcentral.